GCCGAGGUAGCUCAGUGGCAGAGCAGGAGACUCAUAAGCCCUUGGUCGUGAGUUCAAAUCUCACCCUCGGCA
This 72-nucleotide transfer RNA is filed under the name Chloroflexota bacterium. Its description in RNAcentral is "Chloroflexi bacterium (groundwater metagenome) tRNA-Met". It matches the Rfam family "tRNA". From Rfam's summary of the family: Transfer RNA (tRNA) molecules are approximately 80 nucleotides in length. Their secondary structure includes four short double-helical elements and three loops (D, anti-codon, and T loops). Lineage: Bacteria; Bacillati; Chloroflexota. The record is from RNAcentral.